GGGGGCGUAAAGGUUUCGACAGGGAGUAUAAGCUUCGGCAAGCGAGCAGCGGCACUGCAGAACCGCUAUAAAAUCCGCAGAACUUAAAAUUAAACGACAACAAUAAUACUGUUGCUCUUGCUGCUUAAUUAAGCGCAAGCGUCCUUAUUUGGAGGACCACGGCCAUAUAAGGGCGUUGACUAGUGGUGAACGUGAACGGAAAAGUGUCUUGGUUUCCGUCAUGUAUUAAAGACUACCGAAACACAGGGUUUGUUACCGUACGCUGUGUGGGGGGAAUCAUUGAUCGGUAACUGCGCUCGGAGAAAACCGUUGUAAGUGCUUUUUGGACAGGGGUUCGACUCCCCUCGCCUCCACCA
Molecule: transfer-messenger RNA, 356 nt
Filed under: Acutalibacteraceae
Lineage: Bacteria; Bacillati; Bacillota; Clostridia; Eubacteriales
Also listed under: 1 other name
Description: UBA1213 sp902786345 Standard tmRNA
Rfam family: transfer-messenger RNA
About the family: Bacterial tmRNA, also known as 10Sa RNA or SsrA, is named for its dual tRNA and mRNA-like properties. Its role is to liberate the mRNA from a stalled ribosome.
Source: RNAcentral